UGACCUCGGAUCAGGUAGGGAUAC
This 24-nucleotide ribosomal RNA is filed under the name Trichophyton benhamiae. RNAcentral's name for it is "partial 28S ribosomal RNA". The record is from RNAcentral. Lineage: Eukaryota; Fungi; Ascomycota; Eurotiomycetes; Onygenales; Arthrodermataceae. RNAcentral also lists the same sequence under 5 other names.